Molecule: ribosomal RNA, 465 nt
Filed under: uncultured bacterium
Lineage: Bacteria
Description: partial 16S ribosomal RNA
Rfam family: Bacterial small subunit ribosomal RNA
Source: RNAcentral
CUACGGGAGGCUCCAGUGGGGAAUAUUGGACAAUGGGGGAAACCCUGAUCCAGCAAUGCCGCGUGUGUGAAGAAGGCCUGCGGGUUGUAAAGCACUUUCGGUUGGGAGGACUGCUUCUAGCACUAAUAUUGUUGGAAGUUGACGUUACCUUCAGAAGAAGCACCGGCUAACUCCGUGCCAGCAGCCGCGGUAAUACGGAGGGUGCAAGCGGUAAUCGGACUUACUGGGCGUAAAGCGCGCGUAGGCGGCUAGAUCAGUCGGGUGUGAAAGCCCCGGGCUUAACCUGGGAACUGCAUCCGAUACUGGCUAGCUUGAGUACAGGAGAGGAGAGUGGAAUUCCACAUAUAGCGGUGAAAUGCGUAGAUAUGUGGAGGAACACCAAUGGCGAAGGCAGCUCUCUGGCCUGAUACUGACGCUGAGGUGCGAAAGCGUGGGGAGCAAACAGGAUUAGAUACCCGCGUAGUC